UACAGAGGUCUCAAGCGUUGUUCGGAUUCAUUGGGCGUAAAGGGUGCGUAGGCGGCGCGGUAAGUCGGGUGUGAAAUCUCGGGGCUUAACUCCGAAACUGCAUUCGAUACUGCCGUGCUUGAGGACUGGAGAGGAGACUGGAAUUUACGGUGUAGCGGUGAAAUGCGUAGAUAUCGAGAGGAACACCGGUGGCGAAGGCGGCGAUCUGGACGAUGACUGACGCUGAGACGCGAAAGCGUGGGGAGCAAACAGG
This 253-nucleotide ribosomal RNA is filed under the name uncultured bacterium. RNAcentral describes it as "partial 16S ribosomal RNA". It matches the Rfam family "Bacterial small subunit ribosomal RNA", at positions 524 to 776 of the family's 1533-position model. The record is from RNAcentral.